UUUUAUGGAGAGUUUGAUCCUGGCUCAGAGUGAACGCUGGCGGCGUGCCUAAUACAUGCAAGUCGAACGAUGAAGCUUCUAGCUUGCUAGAAUGCUGAUUAGUGGCGCACGGGUGAGUAACGCAUAGGUCAUGUGCCUCUUAGUUUGGGAUAGCCAUUGGAAACGAUGAUUAAUACCAGAUACUCCCUACGGGGGAAAGAUUUAUCGCUAAGAGAUCAGCCUAUGUCCUAUCAGCUUGUUGGUAAGGUAAUGGCUUACCAAGGCUAUGACGGGUAUCCGGCCUGAGAGGGUGAACGGACACACUGGAACUGAGACACGGUCCAGACUCCUACGGGAGGCAGCAGUAGGGAAUAUUGCUCAAUGGGGGAAACCCUGAAGCAGCAACGCCGCGUGGAGGAUGAAGGUUUUAGGAUUGUAAACUCCUUUUGUUAGAGAAGAUAAUGACGGUAUCUAACGAAUAAGCACCGGCUAACUCCGUGCCAGCAGCCGCGGUAAUACGGAGGGUGCAAGCGUUACUCGGAAUCACUGGGCGUAAAGAGCGCGUAGGCGGGAUAGUCAGUCAGGUGUGAAAUCCUAUGGCUUAACCAUAGAACUGCAUUUGAAACUACUAUUCUAGAGUGUGAGAGAGGUAGGUGGAAUUCUUGGUGUAGGGGUAAAAUCCGUAGAGAUCAAGAGGAAUACUCAUUGCGAAGGCGACCUGCUGGAACAUUACUGACGCUGAUUGCGCGAAAGCGUGGGGAGCAAACAGGAUUAGAUACCCUGGUAGUCCACGCCCUAAACGAUGGAUGCUAGUUGUUGGAGGGCUUAGUCUCUCCAGUAAUGCAGCUAACGCAUUAAGCAUCCCGCCUGGGGAGUACGGUCGCAAGAUUAAAACUCAAAGGAAUAGACGGGGACCCGCACAAGCGGUGGAGCAUGUGGUUUAAUUCGAGGAUACACGAAGAACCUUACCUAGGCUUGACAUUGAGAGAAUCCGCCAGAAAUAGUGGAGUGUCUGGCUUGCCAGACCUUGAAAACAGGUGCUGCACGGCUGUCGUCAGCUCGUGUCGUGAGAUGUUGGGUUAAGUCCCGCAACGAGCGCAACCCCCUUUCUUAGUUGCUAACAGGUUAUGCUGAGAACUCUAAGGAUACUGCCUCCGUAAGGAGGAGGAAGGUGGGGACGACGUCAAGUCAUCAUGGCCCUUACGCCUAGGGCUACACACGUGCUACAAUGGGGUGCACAAAGAGAAGCAAUACUGCGAAGUGGAGCCAAUCUUCAAAACACCUCUCAGUUCGGAUUGUAGGCUGCAACUCGCCUGCAUGAAGCUGGAAUCGCUAGUAAUCGCAAAUCAGCCAUGUUGCGGUGAAUACGUUCCCGGGUCUUGUACUCACCGCCCGUCACACCAUGGGAGUUGUGUUUGCCUUAAGUCAGGAUGCUAAAUUGGCUACUGCCCACGGCACACACAGCGACUGGGGUGAAGUCGUAACAAGGUAACCGUAGGUGAACCUGCGGUUGGAUCACCUCCUUUCUA
RNAcentral lists this ribosomal RNA (1508 nucleotides) under Helicobacter pylori. Its description in RNAcentral is "bacterial SSU rRNA". It matches the Rfam family "Bacterial small subunit ribosomal RNA". Lineage: Bacteria; Pseudomonadati; Campylobacterota; Epsilonproteobacteria; Campylobacterales; Helicobacteraceae. The record is from RNAcentral.